Molecule: ribosomal RNA, 479 nt
Filed under: uncultured bacterium
Lineage: Bacteria
Description: bacterial SSU rRNA
Rfam family: Bacterial small subunit ribosomal RNA
Source: RNAcentral
CGGCAGGCCUAAUACAUGCAAGACGAACGGUAAGUUUGAUAGCAAUAUUGAACCUAGAGUGUCGUAAGGGUGCGUAACACGUAUGCAAUCUACCCUCAACAGGAGGAUAGCUCCCCGAAAGGGGAAUUAACACUCCAUAAGAUCACAGGAUGGCAUCAUUCAGUGAUUAAAACUCCGGUGGUUGAGGAUGAGCAUGCGCAUGAUUAGUUAGUUGGCGGGGUAAUGGCCCACCAAGACGAUGAUCAUUAGGGGAACUGAGAGGUUGAUCCCCCACACUGGCACUGAGAUACGGGCCAGACUCCUACGGGAGGCAGCAGUCGAGAAUAGUCUACAAUGGUCGGAAGACUGAUAGUGCGACGCCGCGUGAACGAUGAAUCCCUUCGGGGUGUAAAGUUCUUUUAUAUGUGAGCAGUGCUUCUUAUAUUAACAGUAUGGGGAGAGAGAUAUUAGCAUAUGAAUAAGCAACGGCUAACUCCGUG